This 243-nucleotide ribosomal RNA is filed under the name uncultured bacterium. RNAcentral describes it as "partial 16S ribosomal RNA". It matches the Rfam family "Bacterial small subunit ribosomal RNA", at positions 796 to 1041 of the family's 1533-position model. The record is from RNAcentral.
CGCACAGUAAACGAUGACAACUGGCUGUCGGCGAUAUACCGAUCGGUAGCGAAGCGAAAGCGUUAAGUUGUCCACCUGGGGAGUACGACCGCAAGGUUGAAACUCAAAGGAAUUGACGGGGGCCCGCACAAGCGGAGGAACAUGUGGUUUAAUUCGAUGAUACGCGAGGAACCUUACCCGGGCUCAAACGGAAGAGGAGCGUGCGUGAAAGCGUGCGGUCCGCAAGGACCUCUUCCGAGGUGC